UUUUAGGAUACAAUUAUCAUUAACUAUUUAAGUUUAAAUUAUGAUAAUUAAGUGGGUUAAAUCACAAUUAAGUCUACAUAGAAUGAUAUUUUGGAUUAAUAAUCUUCAUUAAAAUAAAAUUAUGUUGACACGUUUGGAGGUAAGGUAAUUUUUGUGGCUGAAACAGUGGUCACAACUUCAAACAUUGUUUCAUUGUUAUACUUGCCUAUUUGAAGAGCUAACAGAUCUUAGAACAAAAGCAUUGGGCUAUCUAUUUUGAAGAUAUUUCGACCUGUCAGAGCCCAAAACAUGAAGAACAAUUGAGUUGAAAUUGAAGACUUGAAGAUUUGUUUCUUGCGGAUUAAGUCUAGUUACUUGCGGA
RNAcentral lists this long non-coding RNA (361 nucleotides) under Gossypium raimondii (Peruvian cotton). RNAcentral describes it as "long non-coding RNA (GRAI_LNC009529)". The record is from RNAcentral. Lineage: Eukaryota; Viridiplantae; Streptophyta; Magnoliopsida; Malvales; Malvaceae.